CUAAGAAUAUUCCGCAAUGGGGGAAACCCGUGACGGAGCGACGCCGCGUGGAUGAUGAAGGCCGGAAGGUUGUAAAGUCCUUUUGGGCGCAAAGAAUAAGUACGCGAGGAAAUGCGCGUGCGGUGACGGUAGCGCCUGAAUAAGCAACGGCUAAUUACGUGCCAGCAGCCGCGGUAACACGUAAGUUGCGAGCGUUGUUCGGAAUUAUUGGGCGUAAAGGGCAUGUAGGCGGUCGUGCAAGCUUGGUGUGAAAUCCCGGGGCUUAACUCCGGGACUGCGUUGAGAACUGCACGGCUAGAGUAACUGAGGGGCAGCCGGAAUUCCAGGUGUAGGG
RNAcentral lists this ribosomal RNA (334 nucleotides) under uncultured Treponema sp. RNAcentral's name for it is "bacterial SSU rRNA". It matches the Rfam family "Bacterial small subunit ribosomal RNA", at positions 355 to 680 of the family's 1533-position model. Lineage: Bacteria; Pseudomonadati; Spirochaetota; Spirochaetia; Treponematales; Treponemataceae. The record is from RNAcentral.